CCUACGGGUGGCAGCAGUCGAGAAUCAUUCACAAUGGGGGCAACCCUGAUGGUGCGACGCCGCGUGGGGGAAUGAAGGUCUUCGGAUUGUAAACCCCUGUCAUGUGGGAGCAAAUUAAAAAGAUAGUACCACAAGAGGAAGAGACGGCUAACUCUGUGCCAGCAGCCGCGGUAAUACAGAGGUCUCAAGCGUUGUUCGGAAUCACUGGGCGUAAAGCGUGCGUAGGCUGUUUCGUAAGUCGUGUGUGAAAGGCGGGGGCUCAACCCGCGGAUGGCACAUGAUACUGCGAGACUAGAGUAUUGGAGGGGGAACCGGAAUGCACGGUGUAGCAGGGAAAUGCGUAGAUAUCGAGAGGAACACUGGUGGCGAAGGCAGGUUCCUGGACAUUAACUGACGCUGAGGCACGAAGGCCAGGGGAGCGAAAGGGAUUAGAUACCCGGGUAGUC
This 446-nucleotide ribosomal RNA is filed under the name uncultured bacterium. Its description in RNAcentral is "partial 16S ribosomal RNA". It matches the Rfam family "Bacterial small subunit ribosomal RNA", at positions 338 to 795 of the family's 1533-position model. The record is from RNAcentral.